GAAAUAUGUCGGCCAAGAGAAAGCUGCUAACUUUUUUCUUUAAUGGUUUAACUCCAUUUAUAUUUCU
RNAcentral lists this transfer RNA (67 nucleotides) under Microchironomus tabarui. RNAcentral describes it as "tRNA-Ser". Lineage: Eukaryota; Metazoa; Arthropoda; Insecta; Diptera; Chironomidae. The record is from RNAcentral.